Molecule: long non-coding RNA, 1289 nt
Filed under: Ananas comosus (pineapple)
Lineage: Eukaryota; Viridiplantae; Streptophyta; Magnoliopsida; Poales; Bromeliaceae
Description: long non-coding RNA (ACOM_LNC032333)
Source: RNAcentral
UUCCUUUAAAUUUUAAUUUAUUCAAACAUAUAACAUUUUGGUCCUUAUAUUUUAAUUUAUUGCAAUUAAUAUUUUGAAUUUUAAAAAUUAUUAUAAUUAAAGUCUUAUAAUUUAUUGUUUGGUCCUCAAACUAUGAGGCCCGUGACAAUAUAGUCCUCAAAUUUUAUUUUGUUUUAAUUUCUUAAACUUUUGUAAAAUACUAUAAUCAAGUCAUAUAAUCCAAUUUAGUUAAUUGCACAUUGAUAUGUUGUUAAUAUAAAAAUGAUCUGAUAUCUUGAGUUCGGUUACUAUAUUAUUAAUAGCACCAAGCGCUUAGUACUGUCGAGUUUUCUACCGCUAGAUCUAUUCCUUUAACUAUUUUCACCUAUUGGAUCAUACUAUUCAACCAACCAUCCACUCAAUUCUAAUGGCGCGUUUGAUUCAAGUUAUGUAAUAUUACAGAGUAUUUCGAUAUAUCUAGGUAUCUUGAAUUUCUAAAAAAAAUUACUACUUAUGCUGGAUUAGCGUGUUUGGUUUAAUACAGUAAUAUAAUGCUGGAUUGCAGUGUUUGUAGUAUUAAUAUGUUUGGUUCUGUUUAUAAAAUUCAGUAAUCUAGACAAUUAUUUGGUGUUAUUAAGAAUAUAAUAGCCCAGUUCAUGAUAUUUUAACUAUUAUCAUAUUAUUAAUCAUUAUAUUACUAUAUCACUAUUUAAUCAAUUAAAUUGGACUAUAAAGCUUAAUUAACAACUCAUAAAGUUGGAAUAAGAAAUUAUAACAAACUAAAAAUUAAAGAACUGAAGUGUCACUUAUCUUUUAUCGGGAAGCUCCUCAUCGGGGGUUGAGUAAAUUUAAAAUUUACCAUCAUUUAGAAACAUCUUUUUUUUUAGCAGCUCAAUUGACACUCAUCCUUAGUACCAAAUUUGGCUUCAUUUGGUUCGAAUAUAAGCAAAAAUUAAUUAUUACAGGUAUAGGUACAAAUAUGGGGAUAAGAAAAAUAGCGUUUUGAUGAAAAUUAGGUUGUUUCCGGGAUAAAAAAAAUAACAUUUGGAUAGAUAAUAUGAAAUAAAAAAAAUAAUGGAUAGUUAUGUAUAGAAAAUAUAGUAGGGAUGCAAACGGGGCGGAUCCGGGGGCGGGAGAGUUCCCCCACCUCCCGCUCCAUUUCUUAUCGGGGCGGGGCGGAUUCGGGGCGGGUUACUUUUCAUUUUAUUUUUGGCUCCCACUUACCGCUCCAUUAGGGACGGAUCGGGGCGGGAGCCGGAUUUUUGACGGAUCAGGGCGGAUUGAAGGAAGAAAAGAGUCCCCCACAUCCC